AAACAAAAUCAAGAAAAGGUAGUUUAUGAAAUAUUUAUGUCCCUCUAUAGUUUGUGUGGGAAAAAAGACCACAAACGUCCGUAUGGAUGAUUUCUAAAGUUUCUUUGCUUCUUGUUGAUCCUUUCUUUCUACUACUUGUCAUUUUUCCCUUAGCAUAAUCCACACAGAACUCAAAACCAUUAAAAAUUACGGGAGGCAAAAUAUCAUUAUUGACAAGUAACUCAUCCUUUGUUUUGACAUAUGACCUAGCCUCUUUUGCUAUAAGUUUGAUGAUUGUCGAGUCUUAGUAUGUUCAUUUGAAUGUUAAAAUAAAUUCGACUUUGUUGAGUUUUAUUUGAUGUUCUCCUUGUUAUGAAGUUCUGCAAUGAAUUCGUAACAUGAAUAGAAAAGCUAGAGUCAAGCCACCAUUUAGUGCUAGGUAUAAUAAUUAAAUUAGACUCAAAACAAGCAAAAAAGUUUUUACCUUUCUUCAUAUGGCAAGCCAAGCCUUAUACAAAAAUAAUGUUUGAGAAUCGAUGGCUUGUUAGGUUUGGUGUUUCUUUUAGGAGAGGGAACCCUUUUGGUAGAAUUCUUUCUAGUAUCGGUGGUUAAGGGUGUAUGUGCCUCGGUGGUACUUCGUACAUAGUUCAAAGACUUAAUCUUCUCAUUUUCAAACUUUUUCAUCCUUUCCUCCUCACUCACACAUACUGAAAUUAACUCAUUCACAUCCCACUUUUCACGCAAUGCAUUGUAGGACAAUUUGAGAUGUGUAUAACUAUCAGGCAGGGAACUCAAUAUCACAUGUACCAAGAAAGUUUCAGGGAUUAGUACCUCGAGAGCUUUGAGUUUUCCAGCGAUGUCCACCAUUUUUAAAAUGUACUCACACACACUCUCUAUGCCAUCAUGUCUCAUGUUUGUCAGUGAAUUCAUGAGAUUACCUGUUUCAAUUUUUGGUGACUCCUGGUACUUUUCUUCAAUGGACUUAAGGAAAUUGUUUGCAUUGGUAGCAUCCGUCUCAGUUUUUGGUGACUCUUGGUACUUCUGCUCAAUGGACUUGAGAAAUCCUUUGCAUUGGUAGCAUCUGUGAAGGCUCCUCGAACCACAUCAAUCAUGCUUCUUUUGAUAAUCAAUAAGGAAAUUCUGUUUGAUUUGUGCCACUUUUCAUAUUUAGACUUCUGACUUGAGGUGCUUCCAUCUGUUCGUGUAGGGGGCUCUUCAGUUCUAAGUGCUAAGUCCCAAUCCAUGACACCUAGCACGAUCUCAAGAUCUUGCUUCCAUUUCUUAUAGUUGACACCAGUGAGUGGUUCAACUGUAUUAAGGUGCAUGGAGCUAGGAUUCAUAACUGUCAAAGCACAUAGUUCAGUUAUUAAUCCUAGUUCUUUGAGACGAUGUCUUCUACAGGUAAGUGGUUAAGUUGAUAAUUGUGAAUAAGUUUUUCCGUUGCAUAAUUUACUUACAAUAUAUCUUCAAAAUUCAAAACAACUAAUUGAAAACAAUCAUAGGAAUCUGAAAGAAGUAUGAAAUAUGGACUGGUCUUCAUUAUCGAACUGGAAAAGCGAAAAACAAAAGAGGCGUUUGACGAACGGACUCUGAUGUGACUCUGAUAUGUGAUGAUGACGAAUCACCACCUAGAUUGUGCCUCACCAUUGAACCAAGCUGGAUGUCCCAUACUAGAUUAACCCAUGUUGUAAUUAAUGAAACAUAAUUGUAUGAUCCAGCCAAAUUAGAUCAACUUCAACUUUAUCCCUGCCUUGCAGAUUGAGCUUCAAGACACGAGUCGGAGUGCAGAUGAUGGCAGAAUGUUUGAAAGUGGAGAAAAAUUCGGAGAUUUUCUGUUGAGAAAUCCAUCACUUUAGUUUUGCUGAAUGUUACCUGAACAAGUAGAUGAGUGAUCAAGAGACAAAGAAAGGCGUGUAAGAGGAUCUUUGUCCAUUGGGUCGGAUAUGUGAUCUCUGUUACUGACUGCAG
Molecule: long non-coding RNA, 1947 nt
Filed under: Malus domestica (apple)
Lineage: Eukaryota; Viridiplantae; Streptophyta; Magnoliopsida; Rosales; Rosaceae
Description: long non-coding RNA (MDOM_LNC001337)
Source: RNAcentral